GAGAAAGUACUACCAGAACUGCUAACUCUUGUUACCAUGCAUAAAAACAUGGCUUUCUCA
Molecule: transfer RNA, 60 nt
Filed under: Doedicurus sp. FD-2016a
Lineage: Eukaryota; Metazoa; Chordata; Mammalia; Cingulata; Chlamyphoridae
Description: tRNA-Ser
Source: RNAcentral